This is a long non-coding RNA of Phragmites australis (common reed), 1573 nucleotides long. RefSeq lists it as uncharacterized. The record is from RefSeq and is a predicted model, not a curated record. The transcript is spliced from 3 exons. Lineage: Eukaryota; Viridiplantae; Streptophyta; Magnoliopsida; Poales; Poaceae.
GAUGAGGGGGAGAAAAAGGAAAAAUCCCCUUCGGGGGGAGGCGGCUGGAACCACAUCUCCGUUCUUCUUGCGAUGCAGCUCGGCUGUGGAUCCUGGGCGUGUGCUGGCCGUCUGAUGGUCCGGAUAGGGAUGGGCUCGCGGAGGGUUCGGAGGGGCUCCUCUGCGCCGUGAGUUGCUCGCCGCCUUUCUCCCAUUUUUCUACUGAGUCUUGGCUUGGAUUCCAGAGAUUAGAUCACAGUGGGCAUCUCACACUUUGGGUUUUCCCCUCUUUUCCUCUCUGUGAUUUGAGCUUCGGGGUUGAGAGCUUGGACUCCAACUGAGGCUUUGGCCUAAGCUCUUGCAGCACUGGAGGUAUCUUGUUGGUGCUCAGAGCUGCGCUGCCGAGGUUCGCCCGCACUGUAGAGGUGGUGCGGUUGAGGUAUUGUAUCUCCGACUUCCCUCCAUCCGACAGUAAAGUCGGUUGAUUGGAUUUCUGGGACUGCAGCAUUCGUGCUGUGCCUUGCCUCACUCUCCAGCCUUUCCAGCAUAUUCACUAUGGACGCCGCAUCGCUAGCCGCUCUUGUGUCGACUACAGGACCAUGUGCAGGAGACGGCCGCCGCGUUGAAGAAGGUGGCCAACGACAACUUGAGUACGGAGAGCACCUCUGCUACCUUGGAGCUCAAUAGAGCCCUCCUGGAGGUCGACACCAUUGCGGGGGACUUGGAGCAGCUCGUGUUCCAAGUUGAAGAUGCUCUAAGCGCCGGUGGCCAGCCCAACCAUGUUGGUCACACCGACAAUACAAGCGUGGCAGUGGAAGAGGAAGCGUCGGGCUCAAAGGACAUUGACAACGACGAUGUCGUUCUCGCUGACUGGAGCCCGGAUCAGCUACUGUGUUCGGAUGAUGGGACUCCAUGGAGUACGCCUCGUUCCUUUGUGGUGACGAUGAGCUCAUGAGUUGGGAUGAUGUUGUGCCCCCUACCCAAGAAGGCAUCAUCGGGACACCUGGACAUGUGGCAGAGGAGCAGCACCUAGAGGCAUUGGGAGAGGUCGCAGCUGCGGGUGGCCGUGGAAGCAAUUACAGCAUGCAGGAGGACCUUCUCAUUGUGUCGGCAUGGCUGAAUGUGAGCAUGGAUCCCGUAGUGGGGAGCAACCAGAGCGUAUGGGGCUUUUUGGCAGAGGAUCGAGACAUUCUUUCACGAGCACAAAACUUCGCUUCAACCCGCAAUAAGAAGUCUCUGGAGGGGAGGUGGAGGUUCAUCAACGCUAUGGUGCAGAAGUUCUGCGGGCACUAUGGUAAGUCCACGCGUACUCGGAGGAGUGGGACGACCGAGGCUGACACGGUACGUUAUCUGUUUUUUUAGCAUGUGGGAGCUUUCCAACUGUCAAUCUGUUUAAAGUUGGUGAUUACACAUAAUUAUUAACCAGUGUGAAUCUGUAUUCUUGCUGUUUAUUUCUUUCUGUGCUGCCUAUUUACUUGCUACACAUUAUAUCAGCUGUGUUGAAUAGAACCUCACAUACCUAGAUGCACUAGAUGGAAGCAGUACAUUAUAUCAGCAGGUAGAAAAUGAAAUGAAAGGAACCUUAAUUCCGAAU